GACGAACGCUGGCGGCGUGCUUAACACAUGCAAGUCGAACGGAAAGGCCCUGCUUGCAGGGUACUCGAGUGGCGAACGGGUGAGUAACACGUGGGUGAUCUGCCCUGCACUUCGGGAUAAGCCUGGGAAACUGGGUCUAAUACCGGAUAGGAGCCAUUUUGAGUGUGGUGGUUGGAAAGUUUUUUCGGUGUAGGAUGAGCUCGCGGCCUAUCAGCUUGUUGGUGGGGUAAUGGCCUACCAAGGCGGCGACGGGUAGCCGGCCUGAGAGGGUGGACGGCCACAUUGGGGCUGAGAGACGCCCCAGACUCCUACGGGAGGCAGCAGUGGGGAAUAUUGCACAAUGGGCGCAAGCCUGUGGCAGCGACGCGGCGUGGGGGAUGACGGCCUUCGGGUUGUAAACUCCGUUCGCUAGGGACGAAGCUUUUGGUGACGGUACCUAGAUAAGGAGCACCGGCUAACUACGUG
This 465-nucleotide ribosomal RNA is filed under the name uncultured bacterium. RNAcentral's name for it is "partial 16S ribosomal RNA". It matches the Rfam family "Bacterial small subunit ribosomal RNA", at positions 28 to 507 of the family's 1533-position model. The record is from RNAcentral.